Molecule: long non-coding RNA, 655 nt
Filed under: Chrysolophus pictus (golden pheasant)
Lineage: Eukaryota; Metazoa; Chordata; Aves; Galliformes; Phasianidae
Description: lncRNA (ENSCPIG00010012312.1)
Source: RNAcentral
AGAAAUCUGUCUCCUAUGAUAUGAAGAAAGGAAUACAAAUAAAAGAAUUUCUUGGCUGCUGUUCAUCUUAACGUAUGGCAGUUGUCUGCAACAGAGUAGGUGAGUUAUCUCCUGAGUGAGCUCUUUCUCCCUGCUGAGUAGAAGGGCAUCUGUACAGAGAGGAGAACAGAAAAAGUCAAUUUUUCACAUUGUGCCAAAACUCUUGAAGACUUCAUUGAAAACUGAUUUCAACUUUGGAGGCAAGAGUUGUUCCCAGUGGCCAUUGUACAACUAGAAAUUUUUCUUGUUCCAGCACAGCUGUUUUUUCUACCAAAUCCAUGUGAUUGACCUCUCCUGCUCCCUUCAGAUAGGACUCCUCGUGCACCUCCAUGGAGAUAUCCAGCAGACGUGGGUACUCAUCAGCCCUGGGAAAUGUCACUUGUCCUCAGAUCUCAGAUGUGGCCCAAGGAUGAAAUUAGAAAAGCUAGAAGCGAGGUGGAGCUGUUGAGGGAGUGAAGGCUAAGAAUAAGGAUUUCUGUAGUGUCGGGAGCUGAGUGACAGAUGCACACUGAUGGAGCACAGUGCAUUGAUUUUUGCUGCUGCAGUACUUUAUGCUCAAAGAAAUACAGCUUUUAAAACGAUGGACGACCCCUAUUCAGAAAAAACAGGAGGCUCC